AUGGGCUACCAAUGGAAAGUGGGGAAUGGUAAGAAAACUAAAUUCUGGGAAGAUCACUGGUUUGGGUCCUGUAGCUUAGCCACUCAAUUUUGGGAGCUAUAUAGUAUUGCCAAUGAGCACAAUAAAACCAUUGCUGAUGUUUGGCCUGAGGAUGAUAAUCGUCUUCAUUAUCAUCGAGAACUAUAUAUGUGUGUGUGGCUAUAUCAUCUAGAACUACAUAUGAUGAUCGUCAUCGAUAUCAUCUAG
RNAcentral lists this ribosomal RNA (246 nucleotides) under Triticum aestivum (bread wheat). RNAcentral describes it as "partial small subunit ribosomal RNA". Lineage: Eukaryota; Viridiplantae; Streptophyta; Magnoliopsida; Poales; Poaceae. The record is from RNAcentral.